RNAcentral lists this ribosomal RNA (596 nucleotides) under Ligophorus cephali. Its description in RNAcentral is "partial large subunit ribosomal RNA". It matches the Rfam family "Eukaryotic large subunit ribosomal RNA", at positions 164 to 633 of the family's 3401-position model. The record is from RNAcentral. Lineage: Eukaryota; Metazoa; Platyhelminthes; Monogenea; Dactylogyridea; Ancyrocephalidae.
GGGCACGCGUGCCCACCCGAAGUCCAACUCCGAUUGUGGCUUGGAUUUUGCCCAGAGCGGGUGUAAGGCCCGUACGGGUGGGCGGUUGAUCGCGAGCGCGGCCCUCAGAUGUGCAUGCUUUCGAGUCGGAUUGCUUGAGAAUGCAGUCCAAAGUGGGUGGUAAACUCCAUCCAAGGCUAAAUACUGGCACGAGUCCGAUAGUAGACAAGUACCGUGAGGGAAAGUUGAAAAGUACUCUGAAGAGAGAGUAAAUAGUACGUGAAACCGAUUGCAGGGAAGCUGGUGGAGUCAAGCUUCAUGCUUGGAGAAUUCUCGCUCGGGGCUUUGCUGUGUUUUGGGCAUGGUACCGGUUAGCUUGGAAAGAGUUGGGCACACUCGUGUGCUUCAAGUCGGCCCGGGCGUGGUUGAUUGAGCCGGUGCUAAUGCUCUGUCCUGAGCGAUCUAUUCUCCGCGGCAUAGAUCACGGUCGAUAGUGUUUUGUGAAACGUGCUGUCCGACUGUCUAACUGUGCUUUGGUGGGCCCUUGGCUUGCCGGGUGCAGGAUGGCAGGUGGCGGUUGUGGGCCUCGUGCUCUCGACUGCUCAAGCUGGUCUCGA